Molecule: ribosomal RNA, 492 nt
Filed under: uncultured bacterium
Lineage: Bacteria
Description: partial 16S ribosomal RNA
Rfam family: Bacterial small subunit ribosomal RNA
Source: RNAcentral
AGUGAACGCUGGCGGUAGGCCUAACACAUGCAGGUCGAACGGCAGCACAGUAAGAGCUUGCUCUUACGGGUGGCGAGUGGCGGACGGGUGAGGAAUACAUCGGAAUCUACUUUUUCGUGGGGGAUAACGUAGGGAAACUUACGCUAAUACCGCAUACGACCUACGGGUGAAAGCAGGGGAUCUUCGGACCUUGCGCGAUUGAAUGAGCCGAUGUCGGAUUAGCUAGUUGGCGGGGUAAAGGCCCACCAAGGCGACGAUCCGUAGCUGGUCUGAGAGGAUGAUCAGCCACACUGGAACUGAGACACGGUCCAGACUCCUACGGGGGGCAGCAGUGGGGAAUAUUGGACAAUGGGCGCAAGCCUGAUCCAGCCAUACCGCGUGGGUGAAGAAGGCCUUCGGGUUGUAAAGCCCUUUUGUUGGGAAAGAAAAGCAGCAGGUUAAUACCCCGCUGUUCUGACGGUACCCAAAGAAUAAGCACCGGCUAACUUCGUG